CCGAGAUCCAAGCAGCUCUCUGCUGGAGACAUUGGCUCAGAUGAUUCUGAACAUGAAAAGGAGCCCAACAAGGCCAGCCAAAUCAAUAACACCAAGUCUUGGAACAAACCCAGGAGGUGCAUUUUGGAGCUCUUCAUGGCUGUCUAGCCCCCAGUGAAUCAAGUUUUGCAUCUUGGGCUUAGCUGGGGAGUAUGUUUCCUGACACCAACUUGUAUACGGCCUGCCGUGGUGGCGGACUGUGAGAAGCUUUCUUCAAGUUGACUCCUUGGCUCCUCCACAAAUUCACCUUGACCCUCGGGAGCUGAGUGGAGUGAAAGCUCAUCAGCUUUCAUGGAUUUUUUUGUGAGGCGUGUCCUUUUUUGGUGCUGCAU
Molecule: long non-coding RNA, 371 nt
Filed under: Ictidomys tridecemlineatus (thirteen-lined ground squirrel)
Lineage: Eukaryota; Metazoa; Chordata; Mammalia; Rodentia; Sciuridae
Description: lncRNA (ENSSTOG00000029663.1)
Source: RNAcentral